RNAcentral lists this ribosomal RNA (468 nucleotides) under uncultured bacterium. RNAcentral describes it as "partial 16S ribosomal RNA". It matches the Rfam family "Bacterial small subunit ribosomal RNA", at positions 28 to 507 of the family's 1533-position model. The record is from RNAcentral.
GACGAACGCUGGCGGCGUGCUUAACACAUGCAAGUCGAACGGAAAGGCCCUGCUUUUGUGGGGUGCUCGAGUGGCGAACGGGUGAGUAACACGUGAGUAACCUGCCCUUGACUUUGGGAUAACUUCAGGAAACUGGGGCUAAUACCUGAUAGGAGCUCCUGCUGCAUGGUGGGGGUUGGAAAGUUUAGGCGGUUGGGGAUGGACUCGCGGUUUAUCAGCUUGUUGGUGGGGUAGUGGCUUACCAAGGCUUUGACGGGUAGCCGGCCUGGGAGGGUGACCGGCCACAAUGGGACUGAGGUACGGCCCAGACUCCUACAGGAGGCAACAGUGGGGAAUAUUGCACAGUGGGCGGAAGCCUGAGGCAGCAACGCCGCGUGCGGGAUGACGGCCUUCGGGUUGUAAACCGCUUUCGCCUGUGACGAAGCGUGAGUGACGGUAAUGGGUAAAGAAGCACCGGCUAACUACGUG